UAGGGAAUCUUCCGCAAUGGGCGAAAGCCUGACGGAGCAACGCCGCGUGAGUGAUGAAGGUCUUCGGAUCGUAAAACUCUGUUAUUAGGGAAGAACAAAUGUGUAAGUAACUAUGCACGUCUUGACGGUACCUAAUCAGAAAGCCACGGCUAACUACGUGCCAGCAGCCGCGGUAAUACGUAGGUGGCAAGCGUUAUCCGGAAUUAUUGGGCGUAAAGCGCGCGUAGGCGGUUUUUUAAGUCUGAUGGGAAAGCCCACGGCUCAACCGUGGAGGGUCAUUGGAAACUGGAAAACUUGAGUGCAGAAGAGGAAAGUGGAAUUCCAUGUGUAGCGGUGAAAUGCGCAGAGAUAUGGAGGAACACCAGUGGCGAAGGAGACUUUCUGGUCUGUAACUGACGCUGAUGUGCGAAAGCGUGGGGAUCAAACAGG
This 429-nucleotide ribosomal RNA is filed under the name Actinomycetes bacterium. RNAcentral's name for it is "Actinobacteria bacterium partial 16S ribosomal RNA". It matches the Rfam family "Bacterial small subunit ribosomal RNA", at positions 355 to 776 of the family's 1533-position model. Lineage: Bacteria; Bacillati; Actinomycetota; Actinomycetes. The record is from RNAcentral.